This is a long non-coding RNA of Grus americana (Whooping crane), 11435 nucleotides long. RefSeq lists it as uncharacterized. The record is from RefSeq and is a predicted model, not a curated record. Lineage: Eukaryota; Metazoa; Chordata; Aves; Gruiformes; Gruidae. The transcript is spliced from 5 exons.
UCUAGGAGAACAGAUCCGUUUGCAAACUUUUUAUCUAGUCAGAAAAUCCACAACCGAUGAUUCACAUUUUCUAUCAAGAAAGCCUUUAGAAAACAUAAGCUACUCAACCAAAACUCAUCUUGUCUGACCAUUCCCAGAAGUGAGUGAUGCAGAAGAAUCUGAGCUACCUAUAGCUGCAAAUCCAAACCCAGUCCAAUUUUCUCAUUGUGUACAAAUCACAAAGCUGUUGUGUGCUGUAAUCCAAGCAGUCGUUGCUUCCAGCUCUUUUAGCUCACCCAGCGGAAAGUCAUGUUUGCAUCUACCACGUUCAAGCCUUGCUGAGGGGGUAUAGUCAGGAUCAGUCAGAUUACAAACUCUUUCUGCUUUCUGAUGGAUCAGAUGAGAUGGGCUCCAGAACGGAACGGUUCCCUCUUGGAGUUAGGCAGGGGUUAGACAGUUCUCGCUGGCUUCAGGAAGCCUUUUCCUAGCCCAGAUUCCUGUAUCAGCAGCAACGAGGCGCAGUGGGAACAGUGUCGAAGCUGGCUGAGGAGUCUGGUGCCUAUGAGAAGCCAACAGGGAAAGUCUGAAAGGGGCCAUCUGGGAUCUUCUGCUUGCUCUGGACAAAGGAGGCUCUAAGGGAGGUGGAGACUGAGAUGCUCUGAAGCAGGGAUUUAGGUAAUCACAUGGGUUGUGUACACCAGCACAAAAUGGGCAUUGACUAACAUCAAGGGAAACCAUUCUGCCCUUCCAGGUUUAACGGCCUUUUCUAAAGUGAUGACCGAAGGGGCUGGAAGAUACCCGCCCAGGCAACUGUGACCACCACAGGCUCUGUAAGAGCUCCACAACACCGAAUGUCAGCAUGACAUCAGCUCUGGGACCUGGCUCUCAGGUGUGUCUGUGGUGGGUAUCACGCAUGGGUGAGAAGAGGUGGGAACGCGCCAUGCACUGGAUGGGGGUCUGUGGAAAUCGCUCCUCACUUGGUGGGGGCAGCGCAAAGCAACGCAAGACCCUCUGCACUCUCCUGCGUGCUUUGUGUGCAGAGCUGGGCUCCAGUGAGAGGGAGAGCUGCCAGGUUGGCUCCCUUUCCCCAGAUGGUAUAAACCAUUCCCAGCGCUCCAUCCAAACCCGUGCACGGUCCGAUCCCCGCUAUUCGACCCUGCUGCCGUUCCUCAACAUGGGAUCCAAAGCAAACACUUCUCCCCGCUAACGAGACGGGCUUCCCAGCACCUGACGAUGCCUGGCUCUCCCUAGCUCGGCACCACCGUCCCUCACCUCGUUUACAUAUCUUCAUUUGUCAAGCCUCAUCUGAACACUUCGUAGGCUGCCUUCUCCGUUGCCCUCCAGAGCUAUGAAAAGGUCACCCGUCUAACAGGGAGAGGUGCUGGAAAUAAACUCGUGUGUUUUUCCUCUAUUCAAACAUCAGAUGUGACAUGGGAAGAUGAACCAGCUGCCAGGAGCCCGCUUGGCAUGUACGAUGCUGUGCAGCGGUUUGUCCGGGCCCUGCUUGUCUGCCACAGAUCAUUAGUCGUUCCUCUUUCAAGGCUGUACCUCUCCGUGCUAUCUCAAUGCCGCGGAUGUGUUAUUUCUCCUUGGAAAUGAUAAUUUAUGGUAGUCUAUGAUUCAUACUAAAAAUCCCAAGGAAUUGUGCAGAUGCCCAGCUCCUAGAUUACCUGGGAGGUCUAACACGUCUUUUACCACGGGCAAUGGAAGGAACAGAGGGCUCAGGAGAUCUGGUCCUCCCCGUGGAAACUCAGGAUGCCGAGUUGUGAUGCUGUCUGGAGAGAAACCUCCGCGACAGAGUAGCAGCUCCCUGCCUGCAACAAGGGCAGCAAACCCAGCCCGAACUGUUAUCUUCAUGUGUGCUGUCAUAGCUCCAGGGACUACGACCUUGCUUUGAAAGGUAUUUAACGUCUACAAGGAAGAUACAGUCAAACCAAUUCUCUUCUACCAAAGUGAAACACAGCAGAAAAAGAAGUGAGGAGAAAGAGUGAGAGGAGACCGGGCAGUAUUUCAGUUGCGCUGAGGAGCACUCGUUCCUGUUUGGAGGUAGAUGUCUGCCGGCGGCCAGGCGCUCGGUUCCGGAUGCUGAAUCCGAACCAUUCCUGAGGAUGGCACAGCUGGAAAUGGAUCAGGAAAGGUGGUUCAGAAGGGACGCAGGCAGGGUAGCGGUGGUUCUGGCAUCCCCUCCCCUCCUUCACGAGGACAUCCCAUUCACUGUUUUCAUAGUUCAUAUCUAACGCUGGGACAAAGCCUUUUUCCUCUGUAGCAGCUAUCAUGACAUGCCUUCCAAUGCAGCCCAUCCAGGUGGCUUAGAGUAGAAACAGGACAAGGGAAAACUGUGAGUGAAGACAGGCCUGAGACGUAGCGAGCAGCUGUGCAAAGACAGCUGAAGCUUCCUUACGACGUUCUCCCUAAGAUUCAUCCAUUCCUCCCCUGGCAAUGGAGUCUGGGGCUGGAUUCCUCUUCUGCAUCCAGAACACGUUUGCAGAUGGGACGUCUUCCUCCACCUAAACCCCUCGCUCCCAGGUGCCCCGUUCAGCCUCUUGCUCGUAGCAUCUGCUGCUCGUUGGAUCCCCAAGCCAAAGGAGGAGGCUGAGGGUGAACGCAUGAGCUGGACCAAGGAUACUUUGCUGUGUCCUUCCCUGACCCAUGUAAAUCCAUCCUUGUGUCCUCUCAUCCCCCCUCUAUUUACACUACAAGCGCUUUGACUUUUUGCUUUUUCUUUUCACAAUGAGCGAUACCAGUGAAAUCUCAUCCACACCUGCGGUUCUCAGAUGUUACCGCAAUAACAGCGAUUACAAUACAGCCGUGUGCUUUAAACAUUGUGUCCUGAGGCAGGUGGCAUCUACUAAUAAGAGAUGGAUUUGAUCCUUUGUUACUGGCUCACCCAGAAGUCCUACAUAAUAGGGGCAUUGCUAAAGAGGGAUUCAGGAUCCUGUGCAAUCAUACUUAACCCUUUCGUGCUGCUGCUGGUGACAUUUAUGGCUGCUCAGAAAUUAAUAUUUCAGAUGGCCAUAAGGCAGACUUAUCUGUUUUCAUCCCCAAAUUGAGAAGAAAUAUUUUAACUUCCACAAAAUAUGAAACUCUGCAAAAUGUCCAUGUCCACUUGACAAAAUCAAGAACUCAAUCCUUUCAUUAAAGGUAGAACAACAGCAUUUUGAACAUUCAAAUGUUUGAAACAUUCCCUUGAAAAACUAUUUAAAAAUAUUCCAUUUUUAAAUUUAAAAUGGAGAUGCAGUAUUUUCCAGAAGAGGGGCAAUAUUUGAAACCAUGUAUUUUGCAAUGGGCAGAGAAUCUGAUUAGAACUGGACAGCACAACAGGGAAACUGAGGCACAGCAGAAGCCACAUGAGUUGCUCAAAGACAUAGAAGAGUCACUUCAGAGCCACGGUUAAAAUUCAUGAGGACAUAACUUCUAGAGCUGCUCUCUGUUGACUGGAACACACCAAGCAGAAGCUGUCGUAUCUGAUGCCCUAUGCAAGACCUUCAGCACUGCGUGACUUGCUUUCCAGGGUAUGAGAAUAAUCUCGGGUUUUUAACAGCUCCGCAGUGACCUGAGUCCCACAGGCUUUUCUGUAGCUAUUUAAUUGCUUGGUUAUCCCAGGCUGAGCAGCCUGUGCAAAGUACCCUGAGAUGAUACCCUCCAGCAUUGACUGGAGGGGGAGCUGUUUGCCUGUAAAUGAGAACAGGACCCACCUUUUUUUCAGGCACUGAUGAAUCAUUUCACCUUUUUUCCUGACUCGUUAUAUACAGUCCUGCCAUUUAAACAGGUUAGGUGUAGAAGUCUGCCCUGUCCGUGUGGUGUCUAUGGUCGCCUUGCUGGUCACAGGGAUUGGAAGAGCCGGACACAUCACGGUUUUAAAGAUGGAAAGGAAUCUGGUAGAUACAUGAGUCCUAGACCAUUUUCCCAGGAAAUAGUUUGGAUUAAGAAGUGAGGGGAGAACUGGGGCUGCCUGGAGACCCAGAGAUGUCCACACAAGCUCCUGAAGCAGUCAUGCAGACAAUAUGCAGGUCGAGGUAGAUGCACUGUUGGGACAUCAGACUUUGCAGACCCACUUGCCAUCUCUAAUGGAGACCCUGGGCUUGGCUGAAAGGUGCAAGUUCUCAUCCUUCCCUCCAAACUCAGUGUGGAGCUUGAUGGCCCAUCCAGCUGCCAUCCCCAGCUGAGGUUUUGGGAUUCCCACCCAAGGCCAUUUCAUCUGCCUUUAAAUAGAACAGGGCUUUGAAGGAAACUGGAACUGGAACAAAGCUCCUUCCCCAUUGUGGGGUCAGCGGGGUCGAUGAAGAAGCAGCUGAGGGUGAAAUCAAUUAAUUCAUUCAUUACAGAGCUACUGCAGUCACAAAGAUAUUUCAGUUGUGCUUGCUGGGAGGUCCUCGUGAGAGAUACAUCUCAUUUUCAGCAAGGUCCCCAAGGGGAGGCCAUAGUCACACAAUUUCAUUCCUGCUGACUGAAGGGUAAUACAGACAUUCCAGGGAAAAUGUACCCUCUUGUCACCUGAAAUUUCACUCCAGAAUAGGCAACGGUUUGAGUGAAAUCAGACCCCGCUUCAACCAAGGGAGAUGUGUGACAGAAAAACCCAAACACCUGGGGAGAGAAGGGAUGGCAAAUGCUAUUUCAAGGGUUUGCAGAAUGAGAAAGUGAGGCUGGAAGUACAUGUCCCAUGGGCAGAAAAGUUUGCCACUAGGCUCCUGUUGCUGGGAAGGAUCUCCGAGAUGGCUCGGUACUUGCAGGGAAGCCUUUUCAAGCGCCUUGGUCGUGAUUCCACCAGAAACCACGUGCUCUGGUCUGUAGCCUUCUGCCCCAAAUUCAUCAUGCUGGCCUGACGGGCGUAUCAUGCAGCUGUAUUUGCGUCCAUGCCCAUCAUAUGGCCUCCUUGUGCAGCACGCACCCCUUUACUGUCUGAUCUCGUGGGGGAAGUUUAAUGAAUUUGUAUUUAAAUUCAGGUAAUUUUAAAAAGCCUGCCGAAGUCUGGUCACUGAACAGCUCUUAUUAGAAGGUAUGGUACUUUUUUUCAUGCACCUUUGUACCCCAAACCAGAGAGCAGGAUGUCGGUUGCUUAAUCUCAGUGUUGAUUUCAAAGCCUUUGCUCCUUCCAGAGAGAUUUUUCAAGAGUCCUACAAUCAGUAUCUCAAAAUCUUCUGAAGAUAUAGCCAUUUAUUGCAGGAUUUGGCUGGGUAAUGUUUCAGGGGAAAAAAAAUGUCAUCCUGUCUAAAUAUACCAUGUUAGCAAGAGAGAAAAUGUACCUAUCGACAGAUGAAUAGACAAAAAGAGCCUGCAAUUCUUGAGAAAAAAAGCAGGACUUUUCAAUCAUUUCUAUCUACCUGACAGCAAAGUUCACCUGCGAAGCAAGGACAGAGUCUAAACAGCUACAGCAUAAUCCGAAAAACACUGAAGUGAACAGGGCUAUGGAGUAAAAGCACUGAAGUGCUGAUGAAUCUAGUCCAUUCCUUUUAUAUAGAGAGGAUGCGGAUUGUACAAACAGUCCCUUCCUGGGCUGGGCUGAAAUCUGAAGAGGAGCAAUACAUCACAGGAGGAAAAGACGGAAAUUCAAGGAAGGUUCAGUGACAGCAAAGGAGCAAACUCUGAUACAUAUAUAGAGAGAUUUUCUUUCUUCCAUCCCCAUUUUCAGUCCCCAGCCAGGAACCAAAAGUGCUAGAAAUACUUCUAAGGGAUGUCUGCGUAGCCAAUUGGCCAGUUUCACAGACUUUCAUGGCUUCUAGUAGAACUUGCACGUCCCUCUCUGUCUGCCAUGCUCCAAACAAGACACACCAAAUGACAAAAUGCCAAGAAAUAUACAGAAGAAAACCAAAAGAGCCAAUUAACGAGUGAACCUGAGAGACACAGAGGGGCUGAUUCUCCACCACCCCGUGCCAAGCCCUCCGUGUGCUCCCUGCGUCCUGCUGCCGGGGUCUGCCUGCACGGGAAGACAAGCGGGAAGUGCCUCUGAAAGCCUCCAUCUCUACAUUUAUUUAAGCAAAGCUUCGGAUGGCUGACGGGGAUCAGUGUAAAAUGAAUGAUUCCACGUGGCAGCGCAGUCAUAUCCCCCUCCUUCCUUGGCUUUUUUUCAUUUCUACAAGAAAAAUGAAAUCCCCAAAGUCUGUCUGCCUGCCUGCUGCUUUCAGGGGGGUGGGUGGUUGCUCUGCUCAGUUGAACUCCGAUGUUCUAAAACUCCAGAAAAAAAUUAAGUUAACCUGGAAAGGCCUUUCUGAUUCCAACGUGUUGAUACGUUUUCUUAAGGGAGGGAGUUACAAAAGGACUUAAUUCCUCUGUUCCUGCUGCAAGAUUUAAACCCUCUUUCCUGGUGGGAUUCUGCUAUGUCCUAAAAUCCAUACUGAUGUUCAUAACAAAUUCGCCAACUAAUGUGCUGCAUUAUCACUGCCUUGCUUGGCUGUGCAGGAGUAUAAACUACAGAUUUGAUUGCAAAGAUGGGAGAGCAGCGGGUGCUUGUGCCUGUCCCACGGGGCCAGCAAACAUCACAGUAUUUUCCAGUAUGAACAUGAUGUGAUUGCAAGAGACGUGUGAGCCACUCUUGGAGCCCAGAAACAGGGACGGCCUGCCCCUGCAGAACGCACACCUGGGAAUAACCGAGCCAGUCACUGGAUGUCACCAUUGAGCUGCAGAAAUGUGGCUGAAAGUUCAUCAUUUAUCUGCUUUUAAAAGUACUGGUUUUUAAGGAAAGCAUCUGUCACUGGAAACCCUUGGGUGAGUCAGCACCUUGCUAAGGACUGGACCUUGCCUUUUGCUGGGACUUGGCAUUGGUGUCUUGCCUCUGCGUGGAUGAAGGCAACGUGCUCAUCCUCAAAGGGAACAGAGCGACCAGGGACCUCUCUGCAGUGAGGGAGCGAUUUGGUGGUGGUUAGAUGAACGUCCUGAGAACGUGAUGACACGGGGUCUGCCAAACAUCAGGAACGGUUUCCCUUCUCUGCAGCUUGUAUACGGUGCUGGGGGUGCUGUGGGACGGCAGAUGCUCUGCUAAUGCGAAUCAUAGUAAUAUUGCACAAACUCCCUUGAGCUCAGCAGAAGAGCUCAGACCAGUAUUGCCCUAUCAGACAUUCAGUAACCACCAGCAUCAGAAGGACUUGGUGACCUACUACAUGACUAGUGUCAUGAGAAUGACAGCCCUAAACAGAAGGAAAACAGAAUAAUUUUCACUUAACUGGAAAUGUUCAGUUGUUUCUAGUCUCUUAGGUUGUUAUGUAGGAAAUUAUCUCUGAUGAUCCAAUUAGUAGAAGGGAAUAGGGAUCUACAUGAGACUGAGAAUGUACUCAUAGCAUAGAUUAAAAGAAAAUUGUAUAUGUCUAUUAAAAAAAAAAUGGGGGGGAGGGGGAGAAGAAAAAGCCAACAGCCAUAGAGAAGAGAUCCUUUCUCAGAUUCUCUGAAAAAUAGACAAGACCUCAUGAGAUUCCUGAACCCGUUAGGUAAGUUUGUUUUUGGUAAGAGCAAUGUCUUAGUAACUCAGUUUUAUAUAAAACCUUACUUGUUAUAGACAAGCCUGGACACACAGUCAGGUCAGAAGAGGCAGCUGAAGAACAGGCAAGCCCAAGGAACCUUCUCAGGCAGCCUUCUUCCCUUUAAAGAAAGAGAGAAGGCAGAAAAUUCUAGAAAUGAAAUUCUAGUAGAAUUGUUUCAGACAGAAGAAUCUGUUUCAGUGGAAGAGAAGCCGGUCGAAGAGGAGGGGCUGCGCGGAGCAGGCAGGGUGAGAAGAGCGUUACGCUAAUAGCAAAGGGGAGGAUGAAGAGAAGGGACAGGGAGCGCUAAUUUAGCACAAAAUCAAGAUGUUGAGAACCAGAUUAAUUGAGGUACCAAGAGAGUUGAAGGAAUAGAAAAUCUUUAAUUGCCUCUACACCAAUGUGAAGAUUCUGGGUAGUAAAGGAGGAAUAGGAACUGCUCACAUAUGAGUAUAAAUUCGACCUACUUUGGUGUUACUGAAACCUAGUGGGAAGAUUUGCAUGACUAGAAUGUUAAAAGCACUGGUUACAAUCUGCUUAGGAAGCAAAACCGGGUAAAAAAAAGUGGGAGGGCUAUAUUCUUAUGUCAAAAAUGGCAUGGCAUGUUUCUGAGUCUCUGAGACCUCAGAAGCAAAUGAGAAACUAAUGUUCUCACAAAUAAAGACCAAAUCAGGUCCUGACUGCUAUCCAUGGCAGACCAGAGUGACUUGAUUUCUUGUUUGGCUCUUUAAACACCUCUAUAUUAUAGGUAGGAAAAAAAAGACUUUAAUCUGAAUGGCAUAUAAAGGAGAUCUCACGCUGCUAGAACUACAAUAUCCUUGAUUUUUUUUUUUUAAAUGAAGAUGACAAUUUCCUAACUUUAAAAGUGUUUUAUCCAGCAGGAGGGAAAAUGGUGCUAGACUUCAUGAUCUUGACAGAUAAAGAGAAUUCAUUCACAGAAUUAAAAGUCAGAAACUUGUUUAGAUGCAAGUGACAUAGACUCGAUUACACUUGCUACAUGCAAAUGGAAUAACGUCCACAGAUACUUGCACACGCUGGACUGAUUUCACAAAGAUGAAAGCUAUUAUGAACCCAAUCAUUUGGGUAAAGGGAUUUAAAGGGGGAAAAGUAAGUAACUAGGAACUCUAUGACAACAUUUUAUAUGCUUCAAAAAUACUAUUAGUACUGGCAAGGGAAAAAGAUUUAAAAAACCCAAACAAACCUGAAACAAACAAAAAACAUAGCUGAAGAAAGGCUAGCCUGAUAUUCAGAGGACAACUGAUAACUUGCUAUGUGAAAUGUGACCUAGUAAACACAUGCAGGUACCAGACUCAAGACAGUCUACAUUUAGGUUUGCUCAAGGUACGAGUGGAAAAUGUGCAGCUAUCUCGAAGCCACAGGAGUAGUUCUGCACUAAGUGUUUGUGACAGUUCAGUUUAGACAUCUUCAGACCAGUGAAUAAACCGUGUGUGUGGAUGAGCCCUCAGUCAUUUAGCUGCUCAUUGACAUUGAAAUUCAACUUUGUAUACCCUGCCAGCCCAAGAGCUAUGCACCAUCUGGUUCCCACAUCCGCUGUGUUGAAGGGACACCAAUAAUUCCUUGGCUUGGCUUGUGCCACUUUGGGAGUGAACUUCAGAAUGAACGGGAAAUGAAAGGCAGGGAAGCACAAAUAUUUCAUAAAAUACAGAAGGAAUUCAUAAGGUGUCUCCACAGGCCUUAGACUGAAACCUUUGGCCCAUGAAUGACAUUUCUGGAGCUUCUGAUUUCCUCCAUCAUGGAUCCUUACUGAAACCAUUUCAAUGGGGACUUAAGAGCCUAAACAUAUCAAAUGUCUGGGCCCAAAUCUCUCUGUGUCUCUUCUUUCUUGUAGGAUUGGGAAGUGUUCAGUGGAGACUAGAAAUAGCAUAUAAUGCUAUUUUUCUGCUUGUGCUUUAGAACACCCUAGGCUUUAAUUAGGAUAGCAGCUGUGCUAGAAAUGUUAGCUACACUUUGUGAUAGAGAAAAUUGGAGGGGUACUUUUGUCUCUUACAAUUCUUGUCUUUUUUUGAAUGGGUUGAUCUGAAAUACAGUUCUCCCAGUACUUGUGUAAACUAACAUGUCUUUAAAAAGAAUCUGCCAUCCAUCUUCUCUAUGCCAGGUUGAUGGAUUGUGAACCUCUGAGUAAUAUCUCUUGACUGAAUGAGCCAUCUUAGCACCUCCAUGGAGAGAAGAGACGUCACUGGGUGAAACACAGUGGAUUGAUGUAUUUUUUUUGCUAGUAGCGGGAGAAAGAUGGUUUUCAGAAUUUUCAGAUAUUGUGUAAUUACGGAAUUUGGAUGAUAUUCAGUGAAAAAAUGGGCAAUUUAAAAAAAAUUAUUCUGAUUAUAUUCUCUGAUAAAACAUGUCUCCUUAUAUUUCCAUGAGGAUCUUGCUCAUAACAAGACAGAACUCUUUGCCUUCAUCAUGUGUUGCUUUUAGUUUCAGACCUGUCCCAUACCAAGCUCUAGGUGAGGAAGGGCAUCACUGGGUACUGGUGAAGCUUACAAAAUGAAAGCCCCUUUCCCAAACACUGCUUAAAUGUUCUGCCUGAGUUGUGCAACCAGAAUUUUCACAGUGGUAACUUGGACCGAGCCCAACUUUGAAUGUGGAUUAUUCAGCUCUGCUGCUCCUAUCUGCGGGUCCAUGCUUCAGCAGGCACAAGGGCUAUUUAAAAUAAGGACACAGAUGCCUAAACCCUCUUUCAAACUCCGAGAUGCAGAACUGUGAGUCUGUAUUUGCAAAAAUGGUUUCUGCUUAGGAGAGGGGAAGAUUUACAACACUGGAGUUUAGGUAGCUUGUCUUCGAGGUAUUCCUUGAGCGUUCAGAAGAAGAGAGGCUUGUGCAGGGGGCCUUCAGGUCUCCUCUGAAACUGUCUCCUGGAAGAGGUUUUUUCUUCACUGAACAUACAACACAUAAAGCCAGAGCAACUAACUUAACCGCUCCAAGUCAGAGAGCUGAAGUUUAGCAGUAUUAAUGUCCUUUCCGUGUCUUAAAAUCUUACCCAUUGACUGAGAACGUAUCCAGAGGGCAGUGCAUUAUCAAAGGACCGCUCACCCCACGGACCGGUACGUCACGUCAAACCGCAGCUAGUGUGCUCACCAGCACAGUGGUUCAAUGGCACGCUCAGCCGAAGGCAGCAUCUCUCACAGUGUCAGUGCAUAGCUGCAUAUAGCCCCGAGCACUGUCAGGGACUGCGUUGUCCAGGACCCUUUCCAGAGCAGCAUCUGGCCCUUGAAUUAGGGGCUUGAGGCUGGCCCGCAUGCCACAUGGGAAGUCAGUUUGGUUUAUGGCACCUCAAGAGUUAAAAUCUCUACACUUUUUUUUCCUUGAUGGGAAUGAGAGAAGCAAAAUAACAUGGAAAUGGGAAAAAAAAAAAAAAAAAAAAGAAAAAAACCCGCAAGCCUAAAACAAAACUCUAGAAACAGAGAAAUAAAUAUGGUUUAAUAACUGGGACACAAUCUACAGUCUGUGGAAUUAAAGCCCUGUUUUCUACUGGCCAGCUGCCAAAGUGAGGCACAAACAAAACCAGAGAAAAGCAGGUUAAUGAGAGACUUCCCGAACAAAAAAAUAGUAAAAAAAGUGAAAGCAACGAACUCACAGAGCUGCUACUGAUGAGAUAAAUAAGAUUUGAACUGACAUUAUCUGAUCCGCUUGCUGUGCAUAUUUUAUUUGCUAGAGCCAGUCUUUUAAGUCUCCUAGACACAGGUUUCAGCCCCGUCCUCUCAGCAGCCAUCACUGCAUCCAUCUGAUCCAUCCAUCAACUUGUCCAUCCCUGGUCACAGUGGGAUUUGGUUGCAUCCUGAGCCUGUUGCUAGGACAGAGGCAAAUGCAUCGGGAAGGCAUUUGCUGCACACUGCAUCUGUCAGGAGGCUGAACAGCCAAAAGAAUUCCUGACAUGAUAGACCAGGUGUCAAAAGCAAUAAAUAAAAAUGAUAGUGAGAAUCCCUGAUGAGGAAUUCAGCUUUUCAGAACUGCUGGCCUGUAGUUGUCUUUGCAGAAGAUAUUUUUAAC